Long non-coding RNA from Xenopus tropicalis (tropical clawed frog), 1289 nucleotides. RefSeq lists it as uncharacterized. The record is from RefSeq and is a predicted model, not a curated record. NCBI's taxonomy places the organism in Eukaryota, Metazoa, Chordata, Amphibia, Anura, Pipidae. The transcript is spliced from 2 exons.
CACCGGCCCUCCCCUGCUUGGCCCUGCCACCGGCCCUCUCCACCUUGGGCCCUGCCACCGGCCCUCCUCUCCUGGGCCUGCCACCGGCCCUCUCCAUCUUGGGCCCUUCCACCAGCCCUCACCAUGUUGGGCCCUGCCACCGGCCCUCUCUAUCUUCGGCCCUUCCACCGGCCCUCUCCAUCUUUGGCCCUGCCACCGGCCCUCCCCAUCUUGGGCCCUUCCACCAGCCCUCACAAUCUUGGGCCCUGCCACCGGCCCUCUCUAUCUUUGGCCCUUCCACCGGCCCUCUCCAUCUUGGGCCCUGCCACCGGCCCUCUCCAUCUUUGGCCCUUCCACUGGCCCUCUCCAUCUUGGGCCCUUCCACCGGCCCUCUUUACCUUGGGCCCUGCCACCUGCCCUGUUUUACAGGCCAGCACCAUCACUCACUCACUUCAGUCACUCACCAAUGGCUGUUUCACUGUUAGUGGGUAGCACUUAGUAUUGUACUGGGGGCAGAGAUGCUAGGUGACCAAUAGGGCGUGUGAUGGAGCCUGUGGUACAUGAUGAAUCUAUGAGAUGAUUUCAUCUCUCCUGCUGAUGCCACAAGCUUUAUAGUUACUGGCACCUCAGCAACUCACCUUUCGGUGCAAUUACAUAGGCUGCCUGCAUCAUUUCUGAGCCAUUUCUUUCUUUUCUUUUACUUUUGGCCUGGUUUGUGCUUUUAUGACUUUUUUGUGGGUGAAUCAACAUAAUUGUGGUGCAGCUUUUGUAUUUGGUGUCAUGAUGUAAAAAAAAUAAGCCACAAAUGUAUUGCAUCUCAUUCUAUCUAGGAGAAGUUGCAAAUAUUCUGCAGGUUUUGUUAUUCUCUAGGAUUUUGGUAAAAAUCAGACCAAAUGUCUUUUUCCUUUCUUCCAUGCCAAAACGCGGACUUUUACGAGGAAUUGCAUCCAGAAUUCUGCAUACAGUAAAGCAAGGAUAGCGCCUCUAAAUGCCAAAAGAAUGUCGUUAUCCGAGAAACAAUGGCGCCUCUGGACACCGUGUGCAGACCUGGAGCAAAUAAGCAGCCUCACAUUCCAGUUGUGCAAGUAGAAAGCCAUGGAUUCAAGCCUAAGGAACCACUUGCACAAUGAAUCACACACAAACCUACUGAUCUGACUUUCCAAAUCCCACAGACAGGAAUGGGAAAUUACUUGUUUCUCCUCAUUUUCUGUGUUUAUUUCUUUUUUCCAUUUUGAUCUAAUCAUUGUUUAACUAUUGAUUCCCUUUUCCUGUAAAACUUUUAUAAAUGAAUAAAAAAAUGAAAAAGAAAA